GAGAGAAGAUUAGCAUGGCCCCUGCGCAAGGAUGAAAUGCAAAUUUGUGAACUGCAUGACAUCUUA
Molecule: small nuclear RNA, 66 nt
Organism: Chelonoidis abingdonii (Abingdon island giant tortoise)
Lineage: Eukaryota; Metazoa; Chordata; Testudines; Testudinidae
Source: Ensembl